GAUGAACGCUGGCGGCGUGCCUAAUACAUGCAAGUCGAGCGAACAGAUGAGGAGCUUGCUCCUCUGACGUUAGCGGCGGACGGGUGAGUAACACGUGGAUAACCUACCUAUAAGACUGGGAUAACUUCGGGAAACCGGGGCUAAUACCGGAUAAUAUAUUGAACCGCAUGGUUCAAUAGUGAAAGACGGUUUUGCUGUCACUUAUAGAUGGAUCCGCGCCGCAUUAGCUAGUUGGUAAGGUAACGGCUUACCAAGGCAACGAUGCGUAGCCGACCUGAGAGGGUGAUCGGCCACACUGGAACUGAGACACGGUCCAGACUCCUACGGGAGGCAGCAGUAGGGAAUCUUCCGCAAUGGGCGAAAGCCUGGCGGAGCAACGCCGCGUGAGUGAUGAAGGUCUUCGGAUCGUAAAACUCUGUUAUUAGGGAAGAACAAAUGUGUAAGUAACUAUGCACGUCUUGACGGUACCUAAUCAGAAAGCCACGGCUAACUACGUG
Molecule: ribosomal RNA, 497 nt
Filed under: uncultured bacterium
Lineage: Bacteria
Description: partial 16S ribosomal RNA
Rfam family: Bacterial small subunit ribosomal RNA
Source: RNAcentral